GUGCUCCCUUCAUGCACAUAUACUAAAAUUGGAACGAUACAGAGAAGAUUAGCAUGGCCCCUGUGCAAGGAUGAUUGCAAAUUAGUGAAGUGUUCUCUCUGUUA
Small nuclear RNA from Choloepus hoffmanni (Hoffmann's two-fingered sloth), 104 nucleotides. NCBI's taxonomy places the organism in Eukaryota, Metazoa, Chordata, Mammalia, Pilosa, Megalonychidae. The record is from Ensembl.